Molecule: long non-coding RNA, 378 nt
Filed under: Chinchilla lanigera (long-tailed chinchilla)
Lineage: Eukaryota; Metazoa; Chordata; Mammalia; Rodentia; Chinchillidae
Description: lncRNA (ENSCLAG00000022564.1)
Source: RNAcentral
GGAAAGGCGCGUCUAACAGAAACUUAACUCAGACAACAGAAACUUAAUGCUUAAGACGACUACUAAUAUACAAUGGAGGUCAGUCACGGUCUCCUACACGUUCAUGAAAAGGAAAGAGGAAAGAAUAACUGUAAUUGCUGAAAAUACUGUGAAUGUAUAUGUAUGGGACUACUUUACCAAAAUGAAGAUAUAUAUCUAAAACUUGAUACACUUUACGAAGAAGCAGAGAUGACACCUAUAAUGCAUCCAUCUUUAUAUGCUCAAAAGUAUGUGACCAGAUCUAGGACUCCAUUAUGUAUUGAAUGUCCUGUAGAGCAAGGAAAAUCCACACCUGCCCUCAAGAGUUAUGGGUUUUCCAGCCAAUUCUUAAUUUUGUAG